Molecule: ribosomal RNA, 253 nt
Filed under: uncultured bacterium
Lineage: Bacteria
Description: partial 16S ribosomal RNA
Rfam family: Bacterial small subunit ribosomal RNA
Source: RNAcentral
UACGAAGGGGACUAGCGUUGUUCGGAUUUACUGGGCGUAAAGCGCGCGUAGGCGGAUCGCUAAGUCAGGGGUGAAAUCCCAGGGCUCAACCCUGGAACUGCCUUUGAUACUGACGGUCUGGAGAUCGGGAGAGGUUGGUGGAAUUCCGAGUGUAGAGGUGAAAUUCGUAGAUAUUCGGAGGAACACCAGAAGCGAAGGCGGCCAACUGGCCCGAUACUGACGCUGAGGUGCGAAAGCGUGGGGAGCAAACAGG